GGGCGCAUGGUUUAGUGGUAUAACACUCCCUUAGCACAGCUGCUUAGUCAGCAGCAUUGGGAGAGGUCUAGGGUUCGAUUCCCUAUGUGUCCA
This is a non-coding RNA of Coniella lustricola, 93 nucleotides long. NCBI's taxonomy places the organism in Eukaryota, Fungi, Ascomycota, Sordariomycetes, Diaporthales, Schizoparmaceae. The record is from the annotation of a GenBank genome assembly.